RNAcentral lists this ribosomal RNA (402 nucleotides) under bacterium. RNAcentral describes it as "partial 16S ribosomal RNA". It matches the Rfam family "Bacterial small subunit ribosomal RNA", at positions 355 to 776 of the family's 1533-position model. The record is from RNAcentral.
UGGGGAAUUUUGCACAAUGGGGGAAACCCUGAUGCAGCGACGCCGCGUGAUUUAGAAGGCCUUCGGGUUGUAAAAAUCUUUUCUAUGGGAAGAAAAUGACAGUACGAUAGGAAUAGGGACCGGCUAAUUACGAGCCAGCAGCCGCGGUAAUACGAAAGGUCCGAGCGUUGUCCGGAAUCCUUGGGCGUACAGGGUACGUAGGCGGGUAAGCAAGUUAGAAGUGAAAUCCUAUAGGUCAACUAUAGUAAGCUGUUAAAACUGCUCAUCUUGAGGUAUGGAAGGGAAAGAGGAGUUCCUAGUGUAGCGGUGAAAUGCGCAGAUAUUAGGAGGAAUACCGGUGGCGACGGCGACUUUCUGGCCAUAACCUGACGCUGAGGUACGAAAGCGUGGGUAGCAAACAGG